Molecule: ribosomal RNA, 426 nt
Filed under: uncultured bacterium
Lineage: Bacteria
Description: bacterial SSU rRNA
Rfam family: Bacterial small subunit ribosomal RNA
Source: RNAcentral
UGCCAGCAGCCGCGGUAAUACGUAGGGUGCAAGCGUUGUCCGGAAUUAUUGGGCGUAAAGAGCUCGUAGGCGGUUUGUCGCGUCUGCUGUGAAACCCCGAGGCUCAACCUCGGGCCUGCAGUGGGUACGGGCAGACUAGAGUGCGGUAGGGGAGAUUGGAAUUCCUGGUGUAGCGGUGGAAUGCGCAGAUAUCAGGAGGAACACCGAUGGCGAAGGCAGAUCUCUGGGCCGUAACUGACGCUGAGGAGCGAAAGCAUGGGGAGCAAACAGGAUUAGAUACCCUGGUAGUCCAUGCCGUAAACGUUGGGAACUAGAUGUAGGGUCCAUUCCACGGAUUCUGUGUCGCAGCUAACGCAUUAAGUUCCCCGCCUGGGGAGUACGGCCGCAAGGCUAAAACUCAAAGGAAUUGACGGGGGCCCGCACAAG